GACGUAGGGUGCAAGCGUUGUCCGGAUUUACUGGGCGUAAAGAGCGCGUAGGCGGCUCGUUAAGUGAGAAGUGAAAGCUCUGGGCUCAACCCAGAAACCGCUUUUCAUACUGGCAAGCUGGAGUGAUGCAGAGGUGGAUAGAAUUCCCGGUGUAGCGGUGAAAUGCGUUGAUAUCGGGAGGAAUACCCGUGGCGAAGGCGGUCCACUGGGCAUCAACUGACGCUGAGGCGCGAAAGCGUGGGUAGCAAACAGG
RNAcentral lists this ribosomal RNA (253 nucleotides) under uncultured bacterium. RNAcentral's name for it is "partial 16S ribosomal RNA". It matches the Rfam family "Bacterial small subunit ribosomal RNA", at positions 524 to 776 of the family's 1533-position model. The record is from RNAcentral.